UACGAAGGGGGCUAGCGUUGCUCGGAAUCACUGGGCGUAAAGGGUGCGUAGGCGGGUCUUUAAGUCAGGGGUGAAAUCCUGGAGCUCAACUCCAGAACUGCCUUUGAUACUGCCGUGCUUGAGGACUGGAGAGGAGACUGGAAUUUACGGUGUAGCGGUGAAAUGCGUAGAUAUCGUAAGGAAGACCAGUGGCGAAGGCGGGUCUCUGGACAGUUCCUGACGCUGAGGCACGAAGGUCAGGGGAGCAAACGGG
This 253-nucleotide ribosomal RNA is filed under the name uncultured bacterium. RNAcentral's name for it is "partial 16S ribosomal RNA". It matches the Rfam family "Bacterial small subunit ribosomal RNA", at positions 524 to 776 of the family's 1533-position model. The record is from RNAcentral.